UACGGGGGGGGCAAGCGUUGUUCGGAAUUACUGGGCUUAAAGAGUUCGUAGGCGGCGCAGAAAGUAGGGUGUGAAAGCCCUCGGCUUAACCGAGGAAUUGCGCUCUAAACUACUGUGCUUGAGGGACCUAGAGGUGAGCGGAACUGAUGGUGGAGCGGUGAAAUGCGUUGAUAUCAUCAGGAACACCGGAGGCGAAGGCGGCUCACUGGGGGUCUUCUGACGCUGAGGAACGAAAGCCAGGGGAGCGAACGGG
Molecule: ribosomal RNA, 253 nt
Filed under: uncultured bacterium
Lineage: Bacteria
Description: partial 16S ribosomal RNA
Rfam family: Bacterial small subunit ribosomal RNA
Source: RNAcentral